UUUUCAGACAGGGUCUCACUCCGUCACCCAGGCUGGAGUACAGUGGCACAAUCUCGGUUCUCUGCAACCUCCAUCGCCCAGGCUCAAGUGAUCCCCCCACCUCAACCUCCCAAGUAGCUGGGAUUACAAGCCUGCACCUCUAUGCCCAGCUAAUUUUUGUGUUUUUAGUAGAGACAAGGUUUUGCCAUGUUGGCCAGGCUGGUCUCGAACUCCUGACCUCAGGUGAUCCAAAAGCCUUGGCCUCCCCAAGUGCUGGGAUUACAGGCUUGAGCCACCACACCUGGCCAAUUAUUUUAUUAAGCCAGAUGAAUCUAGCUCUGGACAGUUAUAAGCAAAGAAAAACUAACGGAAAAAUACAGAGGCCUGAAGAAUCACAGAGGGAAACUCAUUUGUUCCUCUGGCAGCUCUCCCCAAGGACACCUGUGAGACAAAGUCAGAAGUGGCUUCCCUGGUGACCCAGAGAGACCACAGGGCUCUUGCCGCUGCUUCCUCUACUCCCGUAUUUUGCCGAGCUCUCUAAAUUGUCUCAGCUCUAGCCUGAAUCUAUGGUUUCAUGGAGAGCUCCCUAAAAUCUGUUGACAGAGGAAGAGAAGACUUGAACCUGGUUUACAGAUGGUACUGCACAAUAUGCAGGAACCACAUGAAAGCAGGCAGUUGAAGCACUGCAGCCUCUCUCUGGGACAUCUCCUAAGAAAAAUGAGGGAGCAUCCUCCCAUCCUCCAGUCACAGAGAAAAAAGCCAUGUGAGGACACAGUGAGAAGCUGCUAUCUGCAAGCUGAGAAGAGAAACAUCACUAGAAACCAUCCCUGCUGGCACUUGAUCUUGACUUUCAGCUUUCAGAACUUUGAGAAAAUAAAUGUGUGUCGCUUAAGCCAGUUCAUCUUUAGUUAUUUUGUUAUGUCAGCCUGAGCAGAAUUAGACAAAUACUAAUAGUAAACUAUAAGGUAAACUGUAGGCUUUGGGUAAUGACGUGUCAAUAGAUUUAUCAAUUGUAACAAAUGUAUCACUGUGAUGUGGGACAUUGAUAGAGCAGGAUGUUGUGCAUGUGUGGGCUGUGUGGGAGCAAAUCAUAUAUGGGAAUUCUCUUAACAUUCUAUUGAAUUUUUCUAAGAACUUACAACUGAUCUAAAAAUAAAGUCUGUUUUUUUAAAAAAUAAUUGAUUUUCCGUCAUAUUAACAGAAUAAAGAAAAAAAUCACAUAGUCAUGUCAAUUUCUGCAGAAAAAUCAAUUGAUAAAAUUCAACUUUUAUUUAUAAUAAAACUUCUUAGCAC
RNAcentral lists this long non-coding RNA (1272 nucleotides) under Homo sapiens (human). Its description in RNAcentral is "HSALNT0284092". The record is from RNAcentral. Lineage: Eukaryota; Metazoa; Chordata; Mammalia; Primates; Hominidae.